Molecule: transfer RNA, 65 nt
Filed under: human oral metagenome
Rfam family: tRNA
About the family: Transfer RNA (tRNA) molecules are approximately 80 nucleotides in length.
Source: RNAcentral
GGUAUCGCCAAGUGGUAAGGCAUCGGACUCUGAAUCCGACAUGCGUAGGUUCGAAUCCUACUACC